GAAAGUAGCAAAAAAGUGUUGUUGAUAUCAUUGGAUAUAUUGUGGCAUUGAUAACAUAUGGCAAUAUAUCUUCUUGAUGACUUUAUAAACUUCUAUUGUAUCAUCAAUACUGAAUAGUUUCAUAUGUACGUCCACCAUGCAAGUAUGUUUUGUGGUAUUUAAGAGGUUUUAGAGUAGGUUUCCAGAAUGCUUAAAAAACUUCUAAACAUAUGAGUCUUUUAUUGGUAUGGGAAUUGGAUGGAUGCUUUAAUUUGGAUUUGCUAACUGUAUUGGUGUUUCUGGAGGUGAAACUUGUUUUAGCAUGGAGUAUGAAGCAUCAACAAUGUUUGACAUAUGAAAUGCCGUGAUCAGAAUACUUGUGCCUGCACUUAUAGAGCCAAUUAAUGGAGGAGAGUACUUCCAAUGCAUCAUAAUUUCAUUAUUUAUCAACAAAGAAAGAUGCAAUGCCCAAAUAAAGCUUAUUAUGCAGCCAAGGUUCCAAAUUGGCCCAGGUUGAUCUAAUGGAAGAUCAAAACGUCACUUGCUCUCUUGAUAAAUGUUUUAGCCAAUAUCAAGGGUCCAAUUGGACUGUAGGACAUCCAAUUGGGUCCACAAAUCCAAUCAAAUGGCCCUGAUUGCGCAACAAAGCAGCUCGAAUGUGGGGCCCACAAGUCCAACUGAUUGAUUUCUAUUUUAUUAUAUUUUUUAUUUUUCCACAAACCAUAUGAGAUAGAAAAGGUAAAUUUGUGCAAUCGUAUAACUUCAAUAGUCCCAUACGAUUGUGUAUAUUGGUGAUUUAUUGUAUGUUUUUGAAUCUUGAAUUGUUUCCAAUGUCUGCUUGUUUCUUUUUUAA
Molecule: long non-coding RNA, 832 nt
Organism: Magnolia sinica
Lineage: Eukaryota; Viridiplantae; Streptophyta; Magnoliopsida; Magnoliales; Magnoliaceae
Exons: 2
Source: RefSeq, a predicted model, not a curated record